UUGGAGGGCAAGUCUGGUGCCAGCAGCCGCGGUAAUUCCAGCUCCAAUAGCGUAUAUUAAAGUUGUUGCAGUUAAAAAGCUCGUAGUUGAAUUUCGGGGUCAGUAGGUUGGUCAUGCCACUGGUAUGUACUGGUCUCACUGAUUCCUCCUUCCUGAUGAACUGUAAUGCCAUUAAUUUGGUGUUGCAGGGAGUCUGGACUGUUACUUUGAAAAAAUUAGAGUGUUUAAAGCAGGCUAACGCCUGAAUACAUUAGCAUGGAAUAAUGAAAUAGGACGUUCGAUCCUAUUUUGUUGGUUUCUAGGAUUGACGUAAUGAUUAAUAGGGAUAGUUGGGGGCAUUAGUACUCAAUUGUCAGAGGUGAGAUUCUUGGAUUUAUUGAAGACUAACUUCUGCGAAAGCAUUUGCCAAGGAUGUUUUCAUUAAUCAAGAACGAAAGUUAGGGGAUCGAAGACGAUCAGAUACCGUCGUAGUCUUAACCAUAAACUAUGCCGACUAGGGAUCGGACGAUGUUAAUUUUUUAAUGACUCGUUCGGCGCCUUACGGGAAAC
RNAcentral lists this ribosomal RNA (549 nucleotides) under uncultured Rhizophagus. RNAcentral describes it as "SSU rRNA". It matches the Rfam family "Eukaryotic small subunit ribosomal RNA", at positions 548 to 1098 of the family's 1831-position model. Lineage: Eukaryota; Fungi; Glomeromycota; Glomeromycetes; Glomerales; Glomeraceae. The record is from RNAcentral.